UGGGGGAUAUUGCACAAUGGGCGAAAGCCUGAUGCAGCGACGCCGCGUGGGGGAUGAAGGCCUUCGGGUUGUAAACUUCUUUUGCUCUGAACAAGGCAUGCUAAUGGGUGUGUUGAGUGUAGGGGUUGAUUAGCGCCGGCUAACUACGUGCCAGCAGCCGCGGUAAUACGCAGGGCGCGAGCGUUGUCCGGAAUUAUUGGGCGUAAAGGGCUUGUAGGUGGCUGGUUGCGUCUGUCGUGAAAGCUCAUGGCUUAACUGUGGGUUUGCGGUGGGUACGGGCUGGCUUGAGUGCAGUAGGGGAGGCUGGAAUUCCUGGUGUAGCGGUGGAAUGCGCAGAUAUCAGGAGGAAUACCGGUGGCGAAGGCGGGGCUCUGGGCUGUUACUGACACUGAGGAGCGAAAGCAUGGGGAGCGAACAGG
RNAcentral lists this ribosomal RNA (419 nucleotides) under bacterium. Its description in RNAcentral is "partial 16S ribosomal RNA". It matches the Rfam family "Bacterial small subunit ribosomal RNA", at positions 355 to 776 of the family's 1533-position model. The record is from RNAcentral.